Molecule: long non-coding RNA, 520 nt
Organism: Gasterosteus aculeatus aculeatus (three-spined stickleback)
Lineage: Eukaryota; Metazoa; Chordata; Actinopteri; Perciformes; Gasterosteidae
Source: Ensembl
ACACGGGAUGCACUCAGUGCGGAAUGUACAGUAUAUUGUUUCUGAUGUAGGAGCAGCCUUCUGGAAAGCCUUUCAGGAAAAGAAAACAGUGGAGCCAGAGGGGAUCAUGCUGCUGCCCAGUCCCCUGUCAACCAGUGCCAGCUUCACCAUUAGUCUCUUUAAAAUGAUAAAUUACUCAGCAGAGCACCGACGCUGUGAUCGCAGGGUCAGCUCGAGGAACCACUCUGACUGCAAUGGGUUGCACACUGAAAUGAAGAACCGUUCAAGAGAGGAACCUGGUUCCGGCCGUGCUCAGCCUGGCGGUCGUCUCCUCUCUUGUCACAGGCGUCCUGCUGCCGGUGUGGCCCGGCCCCUCCACCCGCCUGCAGCUCCACCUCCUCCAGCCUCUUAUGACCGUCUGCACCCAGGAGGAGACUCGAUCCUACCGUGACCAAGGAGGAACCACUGCCAAUUACACUGAUCACGUCCUCACCGAAAUAGCUGCCGACAAUUACGUUAGUCAACAGACAGUGGAGCAGUC